This 526-nucleotide ribosomal RNA is filed under the name uncultured Formosa sp. RNAcentral describes it as "bacterial SSU rRNA". It matches the Rfam family "Bacterial small subunit ribosomal RNA", at positions 527 to 1050 of the family's 1533-position model. The record is from RNAcentral. Lineage: Bacteria; Pseudomonadati; Bacteroidota; Flavobacteriia; Flavobacteriales; Flavobacteriaceae.
GGAGGAUCCAAGCGUUAUCCGGAAUCAUUGGGUUUAAAGGGUCCGUAGGCGGUUUUUAAGUCAGAGGUGAAAUCUUGCAGCUCAACUGUAAAAUUGCCUUUGAUACUGGUUAUCUUGAGUUAUUAUGAAGUAGUUAGAAUAUGUAGUGUAGCGGUGAAAUGCAUAGAUAUUACAUAGAAUACCAAUUGCGAAGGCAGAUUACUAAUAAUCAACUGACGCUGAGGCACGAAAGCGUGGGUAGCAAACAGGAUUAGAUACCCUGGUAGUCCACGCUGUAAACGAUGAUUACUAGGUGUGGGGGGUCUGACCCCUUCCGUGCCGGAGUUAACACAAUAAGUAAUCCACCUGGGGAGUACGGCCGCAAGGUUGAAACUCAAAGGAAUUGACGGGGGCCCGCACAAGCAGUGGAGUAUGUGGUUUAAUUCGAAGCAACGCGAAGAACCUUACCAGGUCUUGACAUCCAACUAACGAAGUAGAGAUACAUUAGGUGCCCUUCGGGGAAAGUUGAGACAGGUGGUGCAUGGUU